Molecule: unclassified non-coding RNA, 295 nt
Filed under: uncultured fungus
Lineage: Eukaryota; Fungi
Description: sequence contains ITS2
Source: RNAcentral
AACGCACCUUGCACCCUUUGGUAUUCCGAAGGGUACACCCGUUUGAGUGUCAUUGUAAUCUCACUCCACCAGCUAUUUGUUGAUGGAUGUGGACUUGGACUCUGUUGUGUUACUACAACUGGUCUGAAAUGCAUGAGUGCACCCUGCUAUUGCAGCGUUUUCAGUGUGAUAAGCAUCUUCACUGGACCAAGCUCCCUUGGGACACGCAGCAUUGUGGGCUCUGUGCUGGCAAACUGUCUUUGGACAACUUUGACAAUUUGACCUCAGAUCGGGUGGGACUACCCGCUGAACUUAA